GACGAACGCUGGCGGCGUGCUUAACACAUGCAAGUCGAACGGUGAUGGCCAGCUUGCUGGUCUGAUCAGUGGCGAACGGGUGAGUAACACGUGAGCAACCUACCCCAGACUCUGGAAUAACCAUGGGAAACGAUGGCUAAUACCGGAUACGAGACGCACACGCAUGUGUGGUGUCUGGAAAGAUUUAUCGGUCUGGGAUGGACUCGCGGCCUAUCAGCUAGUUGGUGAGGUAAUGGCUCACCAAGGCGACGACGGGUAGCCGGCCUGAGAGGGCGAACGGCCACACUGGGACUGAGACACGGCCCAGACUCCUACGGGAGGCAGCAGUGGGGAAUUGUUCACAAUGGGCGCAAGCCUGAUGACGCAACGCCGCGUGGGGGAUGAAGGCCUUCGGGUCGUAAACCCCUGUCGAAUGGGACGAAAUUGACGGUACCUGCAGAAGAAGCCCCGGCCAACUACGUGC
RNAcentral lists this ribosomal RNA (463 nucleotides) under uncultured bacterium. RNAcentral's name for it is "bacterial SSU rRNA". It matches the Rfam family "Bacterial small subunit ribosomal RNA", at positions 28 to 508 of the family's 1533-position model. The record is from RNAcentral.